Ixodes scapularis (black-legged tick) is the source of this 72-nucleotide non-coding RNA. The record is from Rfam. Lineage: Eukaryota; Metazoa; Arthropoda; Arachnida; Ixodida; Ixodidae.
GCGCCCGUGGCCCAACGGUUAUCGCGCUUGCCUUCCACGCAGAAGGCCAGGGUUCGAUUCCUUGCCGCGGCU